AAUCGCUUGAACCCGGAAGGCGGAGAUUGCAGUGAGCCGAGAUCGCACCACUGCACUCCAGCCUGGGUGACAGAGCGCGACUCUGACUCAAAAAAAAAAAAAAAAAAAAAAAAAAACAACUCACAUUCCUCUCUGAACGCUUGGAAGAGCAACUUGGAUGAAAUUAUUACACCCAAGCAAAGAUCUUGGGUGUAAUCACAGAGCUCACAUGGAGGACCAUGUGAGAGGCUUUUACAAACCUCAGAGCCCUAGGAAAGCUCUCUGGACCAUUUAUCAAGAGGAAUCAGGCUUUUGGCAUUUUUGAAGAAAAAGUAAUAAAUGACAUGCUAAGUUUAUGAGAAGAUAUUUUUUCCCUGAAUUUAUUCUCUUUCCCAUCGGAAUUAAAUUCUAAUAUUCAUACAGAAGCAACACAUUUGUUCCUAAGUCAAAUAAAGAACCCUAUCUAAAGGCAUAAAAAACCGUUGAAUUAUAGCAGAGGCAUACAAAAUAAAAAUUUUAUAGUUCCCCCAACCUCACUGGAGGACCUCUGCCAUAGCUAAGAAAAAUAGCCAACACUUUCAGAGCACUUAGCUAGGCUGGGCGCUGGUCUGUACAGGAAUUUUGACUUUUUUUUGAGACGGAGUCUCGCUCUGUCGCCCAGGCUGGAGUACAAUGGCGUGAUCUCGGCUCGCUGCAACCUCCACCUCCCAGGUCCAAGCAAUUCUCCUGCCUCAGCCUCCAAAGUAGCUGAGAUUACAGGUGCCUGCCACCAGGCCUGGCUAAUUUUUUGUAUUUUUAGUAGAGACGGGAUUUCACCAUGUUGGCCAGACUGGUCUCGAACUCCUGACCUCAGGUGAUCUGCCCACCUUGGCCUUCCAAAGUGCUGGGAUUACAGGCGUAAGCCACCACUCCCAGACACAAUCUUGUAUGGAUGGCUAUCAUCCAAAAUAAUUGCAAGCUUCCUGUGGGGGCUGGGAUUGCUUCAUAGUCCUCCAUACACCCCCUCAGGGUCCCCACAAUGCCUUGAACACCAUAAUGCUCUGGUAAAUGUUUUGGUCUGGAAAUUCGAUGUCAUUCUAAGUCCAUAGUCCUUGUCUAGUUAGACACUGGUGCUUCUAUCCUAACGAAGGUGAGUCUUCCUCUCUGCAGAUGGUACAGUCAAGAUGACCUAGCUGUAACCUGGCUACUAGAGGACCAAGGAGAAAAAUAAACUUCUACCACGCUUUCGAAAACAAGCACUCAAACUCAGGAGAUACUUGAUUGAAGUUGAAAGAGUGGUGCAUUCCCCAAGGCAGUACCCUCAUGAAUGGGAUUAGUGUCCUUUAAUAAAAGAGACCCAAGAGAGGUCCCUUGCUCCUUCCAGCAUGUGAGAUUACAGCAAAAAGAUGCUGUCUAUGAACCAGAAAGUGGGCCCUCACCAGACACUGAAUCUGUCGGCACCUUGAUCUUGGAUUUCCCAGCUUCCAGAAGUGGGAGAAAUAAAUUUCUCUUGUAAAUAAGAUAAACAGUUUAUGAUAUUUUAUUAUAGCAGCCCCAAGGGACUAAGACAGAAAUCCAGUUGUACACCAGAUGGUUGUAACACGUUCAGUGGAAUGAAAACCUUGUGUCUUGGCAGGGUGCAGUGGCUCAUGCCUGUAAUCCCAACGCUUUGGGAGGCUGAGGCGGGUGGAUCACAAGGUCAGGAGUUAGAGACCAGCC
Molecule: long non-coding RNA, 1677 nt
Filed under: Homo sapiens (human)
Lineage: Eukaryota; Metazoa; Chordata; Mammalia; Primates; Hominidae
Description: HSALNT0406135
Source: RNAcentral